GAUGAACGCUGGCGGCGUGCCUAACACAUGCAAGUCGAGCGAUUCUCUUCGGAGAAGAGCGGCGGACGGGUGAGUAACGCGUGGGUAACCUGCCCUAUACACACGGAUAACGUACCGAAAGGUACGCUAAUACGAGAUAACAUAAGAAAUUCGCAUGGAUUUUUUAUCAAAGCUCUGGCGGUAUAGGAUGGACCCGCGUCUGAUUAGCUAGUUGGUAAGGUAAUGGCUUACCAAGGCGACGAUCAGUAGCCGACCUGAGAGGGUGAUCGGCCACAUUGGAACGGAGACACGGUCCAAACUCCUACGGGAGGCAGCAGUGGGGAAUAUUGCACAAUGGGCGAAAGCCUGAUGCAGCAACGCCGCGUGAGCGAUGAAGGCCUUCGGGUCGUAAAGCUCUGUCCUCAAGGAAGAUAAUGACGGUACUUGAGGAGGAAGCCCCGGCUAACUACGUGCCAGCAGCCGCCGUAA
This 468-nucleotide ribosomal RNA is filed under the name uncultured bacterium. RNAcentral's name for it is "partial 16S ribosomal RNA". It matches the Rfam family "Bacterial small subunit ribosomal RNA", at positions 28 to 523 of the family's 1533-position model. The record is from RNAcentral.